UACAGAGGUCUCAAGCGUUGUUCGGAUUCAUUGGGCGUAAAGGGUGCGUAGGUGGCGCGCUAAGUCAGGUGUGAAAUCUCGGGGCUUAACUCCGAAACUGCAUUUGAUACUGGCGUGCUUGAGGACUGGAGAGGAGACUGGAAUUCAUGGUGUAGCAGUGAAAUGCGUAGAGAUCAUGAGGAAGACCAGUGGCGAAGGCGCUACACUAGAACGGCUCUGACAGUGAGGGACGAAGCCCUGGGGAGCAAACCGG
RNAcentral lists this ribosomal RNA (253 nucleotides) under uncultured bacterium. Its description in RNAcentral is "partial 16S ribosomal RNA". It matches the Rfam family "Bacterial small subunit ribosomal RNA", at positions 524 to 776 of the family's 1533-position model. The record is from RNAcentral.